UUAAAUAAUUUAUAUUUUCACUCAGACUGCAAUCUUCAGACAGAGUUCUAGGUGUCUUCGGCGGGCGCGGGCCCGGGGGCGGAUGCCCCCCGGCGGCCAUGAAGGCGGGCCCACCGAAGCAACAAGGUACAAGAGACACGGGUGGGAGGUUGGACCCAGAGGGCCCUCACUCGGUAAUGAUCCUUCCGCAGGUUCACCUACGGAAA
RNAcentral lists this unclassified non-coding RNA (206 nucleotides) under uncultured fungus. Its description in RNAcentral is "sequence contains ITS1, 5.8S rRNA gene". The record is from RNAcentral. Lineage: Eukaryota; Fungi.